CCUACGGGUGGCAGCAGUGGGGAAUAUUGGACAAUGGGGGCAACCCUGAUCCAGCCAUGCCGCGUGUGUGAAGAAGGCCCUCGGGUUGUAAAGCACUUUCAGUGAGGAAGAACGCCUGGUGGUUAAUACCCAUCAGGAAAGACAUCACUCACAGAAGAAGCACCGGCUAACUCCGUGCCAGCAGCCGCGGUAAUACGGAGGGUGCGAGCGUUAAUCGGAAUUACUGGGCGUAAAGCGCGCGUAGGUGGCUUGAUAAGCCGGUUGUGAAAACCCCGGGCUCAACCUGGGAACGGCAUCCGGAACUGUCAAGCUAGAGUGCAGGAGAGGAAGGUAGAAUUCCCGGUGUAGCGGUGAAAUGCGUAGAGAUCGGGAGGAAUACCAGUGGCGAAGGCGGCCUUCUGGACUGACACUGACACUGAGGUGCGAAAGCGUGGGUAGCAAACAGGAUUAGAUACCCCAGUAGUC
RNAcentral lists this ribosomal RNA (465 nucleotides) under Vreelandella stevensii. RNAcentral describes it as "partial 16S ribosomal RNA". It matches the Rfam family "Bacterial small subunit ribosomal RNA", at positions 338 to 795 of the family's 1533-position model. The record is from RNAcentral. Lineage: Bacteria; Pseudomonadati; Pseudomonadota; Gammaproteobacteria; Oceanospirillales; Halomonadaceae.